GUCCACGCCGUAAACGAUGAGAGCUAGUUGUCAGGCAGCAUGCUGUCUGGUGACGCAGCUAACGCAUUAAGCUCUCCGCCUGGGGAGUACGGCCGCAAGGUUAAAACUCAAAGAAAUUGACGGGGGCCCGCACAAGCGGUGGAGCAUGUGGUUUAAUUCGAAGCAACGCGAAGAACCUUACCUGCGCUUGACAUCCCUAUCGCGGAUUAGAGAGAUCUUUUCCUUCAGUUCGGCUGGAUAGGU
This 243-nucleotide ribosomal RNA is filed under the name uncultured bacterium. Its description in RNAcentral is "partial 16S ribosomal RNA". It matches the Rfam family "Bacterial small subunit ribosomal RNA", at positions 793 to 1039 of the family's 1533-position model. The record is from RNAcentral.